ACGAACUUACACGUACUGCUGGUUCAGUUGCGAGAAGAGCACACUAGCGAACGAACGAAACAGGCCGGCGUCAGAAAUGAAGGGCGCGCCUUCUGGCUCCUCCUCGAUCGCGUGCCCGGCGAUCUUCGCGGCCCUACUCAUCAUCCUUUCCGCCGCCCACGUUGAGCCUGUCGAGGCAGGGUCGAGGCGGGUGCUCUCACCUCCAUCUCCACACCCACACUCACCCAUAAGGCCCGGCAAACCUCCAUCGGCACCUCCACAUCUACCCGGAAGAUCCAGCAUACCUCCGGCGGCGUUCAACAACUUGCCUCUUGCACGGAGGGAGCCGGUUCCUCCUAUAUAACUCUCCUCUGAUCUGGCCCCUAACAUUAGGGUCAGAGAGAAGUCAUGUCAGCCAAAAUCCUAAUAUGUCUUGUAAAAAGAUAUAAAGAAAUUUUUUGUAUUUUUUCCCUAACAAUUCUUCCUUGCUAGCUAUAUAUUCACGAUAUCAGUUUGCACUAA
Long non-coding RNA from Panicum hallii, 501 nucleotides. RefSeq lists it as uncharacterized. The record is from RefSeq and is a predicted model, not a curated record. The transcript is spliced from 2 exons. Lineage: Eukaryota; Viridiplantae; Streptophyta; Magnoliopsida; Poales; Poaceae.